UACGGAGGAUGCGAGCGUUAUCCGGAUUUAUUGGGUUUAAAGGGUGCGUAGGCUGAAUAUCAAGUCAGCGGUGAAACGUUACAGCUUAACUGUGACCGUGCCGUUGAAACUGUUAUUCUGGAGUGCGAGCGAGGUAGGCGGAAUGUGCCGUGUAGCGGUGAAAUGCAUAGAUAUGGCACAGAACUCCGAUUGCGAAGGCAGCUUACCAGUACGCUACUGACGCUGAGGCACGAAAGCGUGGGUAUCGAACAGGAUUAGAUACCCUGGUAGUCCACGCGGUAAACGAUGAUCACUAGCUGUUUGCGAUAUACAGUAAGCGGCCGAGCGAAAGCGUUAAGCGAUCCACCUGGGGAGUACGUUGGCAACAAUGAA
This 372-nucleotide ribosomal RNA is filed under the name uncultured bacterium. RNAcentral describes it as "bacterial SSU rRNA". It matches the Rfam family "Bacterial small subunit ribosomal RNA", at positions 524 to 898 of the family's 1533-position model. The record is from RNAcentral.